AGAGUUUGAUCCUGGCUCAGGAUCAACGCUGGCGGCGUGCCUAACACAUGCAAGUCGAACGUCUUUUUUUGUUUCGGCAAGAGAAGGAGUGGCGGACGGGUGAGUAGCACAUGGGUGACCUAGCCUGCAGUGAGGGAUACCGGCGAGAAAUCGCCGACAAGCCCGCAUAGGUUCUGCUUCGUGAGGGAGCAGAGCAAAGC
This 200-nucleotide ribosomal RNA is filed under the name uncultured bacterium. RNAcentral describes it as "partial 16S ribosomal RNA". It matches the Rfam family "Bacterial small subunit ribosomal RNA", at positions 8 to 207 of the family's 1533-position model. The record is from RNAcentral.